This 253-nucleotide ribosomal RNA is filed under the name uncultured bacterium. Its description in RNAcentral is "partial 16S ribosomal RNA". It matches the Rfam family "Bacterial small subunit ribosomal RNA", at positions 524 to 776 of the family's 1533-position model. The record is from RNAcentral.
UACGGAGGGUGCAAGCGUUAUCCGGAUUUACUGGGUUUAAAGGGAGCGCAGGCGGAUUGGUAAGUCAGUGGUGAAAUACCCGUGCUUAACAUGGGAACUGCCAUCGAUACUAUCAGUCUUGAAUGUUGUUGAGGUUUGCGGAAUGGGUCAUGUAGCGGUGAAAUGCUUAGAUAUGACAUAGAACACCCAUUGCGAAGGCAGCUUACUACACGAUCAUUGACGCUGAGGCACGAAAGCGUGGGGAGCAAACAGG